Ornithorhynchus anatinus (platypus) is the source of this 997-nucleotide long non-coding RNA. RefSeq lists it as uncharacterized. NCBI's taxonomy places the organism in Eukaryota, Metazoa, Chordata, Mammalia, Monotremata, Ornithorhynchidae. The transcript is spliced from 4 exons. The record is from RefSeq and is a predicted model, not a curated record.
AAACCAGGCUCUAAAACAGAUCUUUCAAUGUAUUCAAACAACUCACUCAAGGCUGCUCGAAAUUAAGUUUUGAAUUCAGUGAUUUUAAAAGCAUGUAAAGUGUCUCUUUUUUAAACUUUAAAUGAAAAUGAUUUUCUGAAGUUAAAAAAAAACUUACAUCCAGAAAAGAGAAACAAGAAGAGCGGGGUUCAUACCUGUGGACAAAACUGAUCCAGAUGCCAAACCACACUUUAUGGAACAUGUUGGCCCAGCAACUUCAUUCAAUGGGGAUAAUAAAAUACCAGAGAAACCACCUCAUAAGGUAAGCCGGUUCCUUCUCUGGCUGUGAAACCCAGCUCUGCCACCUGCCAGAAUGGCCCCAACACCCGGGACCGACCCAGAGUGGGUCAGACAAGCCGGGGUGGGAAUGGAAGGCCAGGAGGGACUCCAAUGUCACCUACCCUUCCUUCCCCACAUACAACCCCAGGAUCCAGAUAGCUGUAGGGACCAAAGUGAAAUUUCCUCUUCAUAUUAAAUGCAUACAACCCACAAUACAACCGGUUCCAGCAAGGCGAGGAAAAAGUAUGUGAGCAAUUCUCUUUGACAAUUACAAUGUUUAAAAUGUGAAUUUUUAACCACACAAAAAUCAACAACUCUAUUUUCUUUCUGCACUACUUCUAAAGCCCAAGCAAUUAUCGCAUAAGCUUUCUUUAGCAUAGUUUUAGGAAUGAAGACCCAGGAAACACUCUAUAAUAACAUAGUUUCAAAGUACAUUUUUACACUUCUAGACACUCAUUAAUUUCCAUUUGCACAUUUAAUUCAACUGAAAACUGUAAAAAAAAUACAAUUAAAAGCUUCCAAUGCCUAAUCAAAACUAAUCUAUUAUUUUCCAAGGAACUGCACAUCUAGUCUACCUUUCCAAAUGUUCUAUUACACCUUGAUAAUUUUGGGUAGCUUCUUUGAAGGAUUAAAAACCAGCAAUGGAAAAAAAGAGCCAAUAAAGCAUCCACUCCAGGUU